Molecule: ribosomal RNA, 550 nt
Filed under: uncultured bacterium
Lineage: Bacteria
Description: bacterial SSU rRNA
Rfam family: Bacterial small subunit ribosomal RNA
Source: RNAcentral
UGGGGAAUCUUCCGCAAUGGACGAAAGUCUGACGGAGCAACGCCGCGUGAGUGAUGACGGCCUUCGGGUUGUAAAGCUCUGUUAAUUGGGACGAAAGGUCCUCUUGCGAAUAGUUAGAGGAAUUGACGGUACCGGAAUAGAAAGCCACGGCUAACUACGUGCCAGCAGCCGCGGUAAUACGUAGGCGGCAAGCGUUGUCCGGAAUUAUUGGGCGUAAAGCGCGCGCAGGCGGAUUGGUCAGUCUGUCUUAAAAGUUCGGGGCUUAACCCCGUGAUGGGAUGGAAACUGCCAAUCUAGAGUAUCGGAGAGGAAAGUGGAAUUCCUAGUGUAGCGGUGAAAUGCGUAGAUAUUAGGAAGAACACCAGUGGCGAAGGCGACUUUCUGGACGAAAACUGACGCUGAGGCGCGAAAGCCAGGGGAGCGAACGGGAUUAGAUACCCCGGUAGUCCUGGCCGUAAACGAUGGGUACUAGGUGUAGGAGGUAUCGACCCCUUCUGUGCCGGAGUUAACGCAGUAAGUACCCCGCCUGGGGAGUACGACCGCAAGGUUG